CAGUAGCCGCGGUAAAACGUAGGGUGCGAGCGUUAAUCGGAAUUACUGGGCGUAAAGCGUGCGUAGGCGGUUCGUUAAGUCUGUUGUGAAAGCCCCGGGCUCAACCUGGGAAUGGCAAUGGAUACUGGCGAGCUAGUAGGUGAGAGAGGUAAGUGGAAUUCCGGGUGUAGAGGUGAAAUUCGUAGAUAUUCGGAAGAACACCAGUGGCGAAGGCGGCUUACUGGCUCAUUCUAGACGCUGAGGUGCGAAAGCGUGGGGAGCAAACAGGAUUAGAUACCCCGGUAGUCCCUGUCUCUUAUAC
This 301-nucleotide ribosomal RNA is filed under the name uncultured bacterium. Its description in RNAcentral is "partial 16S ribosomal RNA". It matches the Rfam family "Bacterial small subunit ribosomal RNA", at positions 509 to 807 of the family's 1533-position model. The record is from RNAcentral.